RNAcentral lists this ribosomal RNA (253 nucleotides) under uncultured bacterium. RNAcentral describes it as "partial 16S ribosomal RNA". It matches the Rfam family "Bacterial small subunit ribosomal RNA", at positions 524 to 776 of the family's 1533-position model. The record is from RNAcentral.
UACAGAGGGGGCAAGCGUUAUUCGGAAUUAUUGGGCGUAAAGGGCGCGUAGGCGGCUUGGCAAGUGGGUGGUGAAAUCCCUCGGCUUAACCGAGGAACUGCCGUCCAAACUGCUUUGCUUGAGGCCGGGAGAGGCGAGUGGAAUUCCCAGUGUAGCGGUGAAAUGCGUAGAUAUUGGGAGGAACACCAGUGGCGAAGGCGGCUCGCUGGACCGGUUCUGACGCUGAUGCGCGAAAGCGUGGGGAGCAAACGGG